Molecule: ribosomal RNA, 202 nt
Filed under: uncultured Prevotella sp.
Lineage: Bacteria; Pseudomonadati; Bacteroidota; Bacteroidia; Bacteroidales; Prevotellaceae
Description: partial 16S ribosomal RNA
Source: RNAcentral
GGAGUUUGGACCGUGUCUCAGUUCCAAGUGUGGGGGACCUUCCUCUCCAGAACCCCUACCGAUCGAUGGCUCGGUGGGCCCGUUGCCCCGCCGACUACCUAAUCGGACGCAUCCCCAUCCCUUAGCGGUAAACCUUUGCUUCAUUUCAGAUGCCAUCCACGAAGAACAUAGGGUCUUAAUCCGAUUUUCAUCGGGCUAUGCC